AUGACGUGAACCUGGGAGGCAGAGCUUGCAGUGAGCAGAGAUUGCACCACUGCGCUCCAGCCUGGGCGACAGAGCGAGACUCCGUCUCAAAAAAAAAAGGUCUUGGAGGGAAAGAGUUCCAAGCAGAAGAAACAGUAAGUGCAAACAUUGUGAGGCAGGAGAGAGUAAGCACAGAGGAGAGCAGUGAGAGAACCAGAGAGAACAGGGACAUGGACCACAUGGUCCUUUGGAAUGAAUGUGGCUGACAGAGUGAGACGGGAGGGAAAAGAUGGGAUCUGACUUACUUUUUGAAAGGAUUACUCUGGAAGCUGUGUGCAGAAGAGUCUGAAGGCAGGGUUGGAACUUACUGGGAAAUGACGAGAACAGGGAGAGCCAGCUAGGAGACUCACCGGACUCCAGCCAAGAGCCAAAGGAAUCUGAAGAGAAGAUGGCAAAAGAGUCUGAGAGGCAGUGGCCAGAAGGAGAAGGAAAGCAGGUGGAUGUGAAGAAAGUGUUCAACGUGGAGGGAGGAACCAGCCAUGUCAAAUGAUGCUGACAGCCAGGCAAGAUGAGG
RNAcentral lists this long non-coding RNA (553 nucleotides) under Homo sapiens (human). RNAcentral's name for it is "non-protein coding lnc-HES1-9:1". Lineage: Eukaryota; Metazoa; Chordata; Mammalia; Primates; Hominidae. The record is from RNAcentral.